UCCUGCCAGAGGUUACUGCUAUCGAGGUUCGACUAAGCCAUGCGAGUCGAAUGUAGCAAUACAUGGCGUACUGCUCAGUAACACGUGGACAACCUACCCUCCGGACGGGUAUAAACCCGGGAAACUGGGUAUAAUCCCCGAUAGAUCUCGGUCGCUGGAAAGCCCCGAGAUCGAAAGCUCCGGCGCCAGAGGAUGGGUCUGCGGCCUAUCAGGUAGUAGUGGGUGUAGCGUACCUACUAGCCUACGACGGGUACGGGUUGUGAGAGCAAGAGCCCGGAGAUGGAUUCUGAGACACGAAUCCAGGCCCUACGGGGUGCAGCAGGCGCGAAAACUUUACAAUGCCGGCAACGGCGAUAAGGGGACCUCGAGUGCCAGGUUACAAAUCUGGCUGUCGUGAUGCCUAAAAAGCAUUGCAUAGCAAGGGCCGGGCAAGACCGGUGCCAGCCGCCGCGGUAACACCGGCG
Molecule: ribosomal RNA, 464 nt
Filed under: uncultured archaeon
Lineage: Archaea
Description: bacterial SSU rRNA
Rfam family: Archaeal small subunit ribosomal RNA
Source: RNAcentral